AUUGAACGCUGGCGGCAGGCCUAACACAUGCAAGUCGAGCGGAUGAAGUGAGCUUGCUCCUGUAUUCAGCGGCGGACGGGUGAGUAAUGCCUAGGAAUCUGCCUGGUAGUGGGGGAUAACGUCCGGAAACGGGCGCUAAUACCUCAUACGUCCUGAGGGAGAAAGUGGGGGAUCUUCGGACCUCACGCUAUCAAAUGAGCCUAGGUCGGAUUAGCUAGUUGGUGGGGUAAAGGCCUACCAAGGCGACGAUCCGUAACUGGUCUGAGAGGAUGAUCAGUCACACUGGAACUGAGACACGGUCCAGACUCCUACGGGAGGCAGCAGUGGGGAAUAUUGGACAAUGGGCGAAAGCCUGAUCCAGCCAUGCCGCGUGUGUGAAGAAGGUCUUCGGAUUGUAAAGCACUUUAAGUUGGGAGGAAGGGCAGUAAGUUAAUAACUUGCUGUUUUGACGUUACCAACAGAAUAAGCACCGGCUAACUUCGUG
RNAcentral lists this ribosomal RNA (484 nucleotides) under uncultured bacterium. RNAcentral's name for it is "partial 16S ribosomal RNA". It matches the Rfam family "Bacterial small subunit ribosomal RNA", at positions 30 to 507 of the family's 1533-position model. The record is from RNAcentral.